UAGGAACUUACCCUUCAGAGGGGGACAACCAAGGGAAACUUUGGCUAAUACCGCAUAAUCUCGAGAGAGUAAAGCUGCCGCAAGGUGGCGCUGAAGGAGAGGCCUGCGUCCGAUUAGCUAGUUGGUGAGGUAAGAGCUCACCAAGGCGAUGAUCGGUAACUGGUCUGAGAGGACGACCAGUCACACUGGGACUGAGACACGGCCCAGACUCCUACGGGAGGCAG
RNAcentral lists this ribosomal RNA (224 nucleotides) under uncultured bacterium. Its description in RNAcentral is "partial 16S ribosomal RNA". It matches the Rfam family "Bacterial small subunit ribosomal RNA", at positions 118 to 351 of the family's 1533-position model. The record is from RNAcentral.